Molecule: long non-coding RNA, 306 nt
Filed under: Chinchilla lanigera (long-tailed chinchilla)
Lineage: Eukaryota; Metazoa; Chordata; Mammalia; Rodentia; Chinchillidae
Description: lncRNA (ENSCLAG00000026940.1)
Source: RNAcentral
AUGAUUUUCUACGUUGUUUGCAUUGGGCUGGCCUUCCUCAGCCUAGCUCUUUCUUUCUUUCACUAUGGAUACUUUUCUGCAGGAUUUAGAAUGAAGCAGAGUGAAGACACACACUGGAGUGCCUUGCAGAGGAGCUUAGCCACAGCUGACAUCGUGUGUGUCCUGGCUCGGUGUGUGUCCUGGUCUACCUGGCUCUUAUGGGACUACCUAUGGCCUCAUGCAGACCUGGAAACUUAUUGUACAUUCCUUGAACAUAUGAAAAUCCAAGUCUUUAUGAAAUGGAAGGAAACAAAUACAGAGAAUUAG